ACCUACGGGGGGCAGCAGUGGGGGAUAUUGCACAAUGGGGGGAACCCUGAUGCAGCGACGCCGCGUGGGUGAAGGAGCGUUUCGGCGCGUAAAGCCCUAUCGGCAGGGAAGAAGGAGGACGGUACCUGACUAAGAAGCCCCGGCUAACUACGUGCCAGCAGCCGCGGUAAUACGUAGGGGGCAAGCGUUAUCCGGAUUUACUGGGUGUAAAGGGAGCGUAGACGGCAUGGCAAGCCAGAUGUGAAAUACCGGGGCUCAACCCCGGGACUGCAUUUGGAACUGUUAAGCUGGAGUGUCGGAGGGGG
RNAcentral lists this ribosomal RNA (305 nucleotides) under uncultured bacterium. RNAcentral describes it as "partial 16S ribosomal RNA". It matches the Rfam family "Bacterial small subunit ribosomal RNA", at positions 337 to 658 of the family's 1533-position model. The record is from RNAcentral.